Molecule: ribosomal RNA, 497 nt
Filed under: uncultured bacterium
Lineage: Bacteria
Description: partial 16S ribosomal RNA
Rfam family: Bacterial small subunit ribosomal RNA
Source: RNAcentral
GAUGAACGCUGGCGGCGUGCCUAAUACAUGCAAGUCGAGCGAACAGACGAGGAGCUUGCUCCUCUGACGUUAGCGGCGGACGGGUGAGUAACACGUGGAUAACCUACCUAUAAGACUGGGAUAACUUCGGGAAACCGGAGCUAAUACCGGAUAAUAUAUUGAACCGCAUGGUUCAAUAGUGAAAGACGGUUUUGCUGUCACUUAUAGAUGGAUCCGCGCCGCAUUAGCUAGUUGGGAAGGUAACGGCUUACCAAGGCAACGAUGCGUAGCCGACCUGAGAGGGUGAUCGGCCACACUGGAACGGAGACACGGUCCAGACUCCUAAGGGAGGCAGCAGUAGGGAAUCUUCCGCAAAGGGCGAAAGCCUGACGGAGCAACGCCGCGUGAGUGAUGAAGGUCUUCGGAUCGUAAAACUCUGUUAUUAGGGAAGAACAAAUGUGUAAGUAACUAUGCACGUCUUGACGGUACCUAAUCAGAAAGCCACGGCUAACUACGUG